This 526-nucleotide ribosomal RNA is filed under the name Micrixalus sali (Sali's dancing frog). RNAcentral describes it as "partial 16S ribosomal RNA". It matches the Rfam family "Bacterial large subunit ribosomal RNA", at positions 1857 to 2599 of the family's 2925-position model. Lineage: Eukaryota; Metazoa; Chordata; Amphibia; Anura; Micrixalidae. The record is from RNAcentral.
GCCUGCCCAGUGACAAAGUUCAACGGCCGCGGAAUCCUAACCGCGCGAAGGUAGCAUAAUCACUUGUUUCCUAAAUAGAGACUCGUAUCAACGGCAUCACGAGGGUUAGACUGUCUCCCCCACCCAAUCAGUGAAACUGAUCCCCCCGUGAAGAAGCGGGGAUAAGUAUAUAAGACGAGAAGACCCUAUGGAGCUUCAGGCUCGAUGGACAGCCUACCUAAACAAACCCCCUCACCAAAUAAGAUAUGCCCAUCCGCCUUCGGUUGGGGCGACCAGGGAGUAAAACAAAACCUCCACAACAAACAGGACUAAACCUUAAUCCAAGAGCCACCGCUCUAAGAAUAGAUAAAUCAAUGUAAAAUGACCCGAAAAUCGAUCAAUGAACCAAGUUACCCUAGGGAUAACAGCGCAAUCCAUUUCCAGAGCCCUUAUCCACAAAUGGGUUUACGACCUCGAUGUUGGAUCAGGGUGUCCCAGUGGUGCAGCCGCUACUAAAGGUUCGUUUGUUCAACGAUUAAAACCCUAC